AAACAACACCAUUUAUAAACAAAUCUCAUGACAAAGUUUAUAGUAAACAACACAAACGAAUCAAAGCAACAAAACCAACCCAUGACCAAACCCAAAGUUGCUAGAACCAGGGCCUAACCUCUUGAGACGAUAGCAAGAAUAGUAGAUGACGACAGCAGAGAAAACCCUACCAGGGACCCUCGACCUUAAUCCCUCAACAAAGACCCUACACCUCUUCUGUGAAUGACCCUACAAUAGCCUGCAACCUAAAAUAUUCAAUACACAGAACACAUUCACAAUUUGCGAAAUGGGAGAAGGACAACUUACCAGUGGCCGCAAACGAUGGUGGAAUAGACGACCAACCACAAUGGUCGGUAAGAGGCUCUCCGAUAGGUGACAAGAAUUGGACAAAUGAAGCAGACGACACAAGGGAGCCUCUAUGAAGGAAGAAAGGUGGUCAAUAGGGAUACCGACAAAAACGCUCACAAAGGAAUGUUUCAUUCGAAGAGGGAAACUAAACCCCAAAAAUGUUUAUUCCAAUUUCUUGAGCCCUUUACCGGCGGCCCACAUCCUUCGGAAGAUCCUUCGAUAAAAGAAGAUUACCGAUGACCUAUAGGCCUUCGGUUUCAUUUGAUUUGCUUGAGAAGUACUUGGAAGCACACUCAAAGGCCUCCAAAUGGGAAAAUGAGCUCCUGGAUGUAGGCUACUAGCCUCUAUGCAUCUAGAUUCCCU
This 711-nucleotide small RNA is filed under the name Vigna angularis var. angularis. RNAcentral describes it as "Non-protein coding transcript". Lineage: Eukaryota; Viridiplantae; Streptophyta; Magnoliopsida; Fabales; Fabaceae. The record is from RNAcentral.